GUGCAUACUUUGGCAGCACAUAUACUAAAAUUGGAGCAAUACAGAGUUUAUCAUGGCCCUUACUCAAGGAUGACACACAAAUUCAUGAAAUGUUCCAUGUUUUU
Small nuclear RNA from Dipodomys spectabilis (banner-tailed kangaroo rat), 104 nucleotides. NCBI's taxonomy places the organism in Eukaryota, Metazoa, Chordata, Mammalia, Rodentia, Heteromyidae. The record is from RefSeq and is a predicted model, not a curated record.